GACCCUUAUGACUGGUUUUGUGGUCCAGGGUCACGUAUGACAUGGAGGUUCAUAUGACCAGCCUUCGUCCAGCUGCCCAAUGUAUGCACGGAUAUUUUAUUUAUUAAGUUGCAAAAGUGAUGCUGCAUUAAACUGAAUCUUCAGCCAAGCAUCGGUUCUGUGACAUCAUGGGCUCGUGCUUGAGGACUCUCUCCACCUCACGAGACUCCGUGGAGAUCAUGCAUGCGCUGGUUCAGCAGGUGGUGUGAAGAUGAGGAGAUCAAGAAGCUCUGGGAUGAGAUGUUCCUCAAGGGUCCAGCGGACCAAACACUGCUGCUUCUGCUGGACACCAUCAGCUCCACAGGGUGUGACAUCACGAUCUAUCUAUCUGUCUGUCUAUACUAAUGAUGUGUUGUGUCUCUUUUACACACAGAGAGAGUGCGGGUCUGGAGCGAUGUGCAUCUGUACUGGAGACCUUCCUCUCUGCUGGUCGUCCUCAGGUGGUGUUGUGGUCCAGAUGCGAGGUUGGCGGAGCCUAUUCAGACUCUCCCCAGCUAAGAGAGACCAUUGUCAUCGUCCACCUUGCAGCUUUGCCCUCCAUUACCUGCAACCAUCUGCAUGCAAGCAAACACACCUGACGCCUUCCUACCACAGCAGUACUACCCGCUGCUGGCCGCCAGCAUACUGGACACACUGGAGAAGACAUGCCACGCUCUCAGAGACUCCGUUGUUAAAGUCUGUUCUUGGUUAUUUGGCUCUGGAUUUAGAGCGCAGGACACUGCUUAAACAGGUCCUUUGGAGUGUGUGUCAGGUCAGGUGUAAACGUCUCUUGAACAGCAGCUGUACGUCAGUAAAGUUCUACUGCUGUGUGUAGCGUCACUCAACCAUUCUGAAAUACAAGAACUACGGCAUGAGAUGCUGCAGUGCAUGCUGGGAGGUGUCCAGUGUCGCCUGGACAGCAAUAUUGAGCGUAUUCGACGGAUGGGAAUGGCUGUGGGCGAGUAUCUCAGUCACAAAUCAGACACAGCAGGAUCAGAAUUAAGCCAUUUGGACCUUUAAACAUUGUUCUUUACAAUGAAAACCUCUUGUGAUGAUGCAUUACUGAUCCGUACCAAACCUGAAAGCAUCUUGCAUUUGCAACUAACAAAAGUUUCAGAUGCGCCCAUCACAUUUCUAUUACUACAACUGUGAACUUGAGAUAUUUGUUUCAUUCUUUAACUCUUUCAAUGCUAAUGAAGCUGUUUUAUGUGUCAGUGUGAGCCAGAUGAGGAGAUCAGAGAGCUGAAGUCAUGAACAACACCAGCCUGAUACCUCCACCAGAUGGGCCGAGCUUUGCUGGAUUUAGUUUGGGCCGUGCGCUUCCUCACUGACCAGUAAGUUUGUGUUCUAGGAUGCAUUAUAUCACAUGCCUACAUCUAAUGCUCUCUCUCUGGCUUUAACUGUAGGAUGGUGCGGAGGGGCGUUAUGUUUGCGGUUUGUGCUGUGUUUCUGAGCAUGCCUGCUGAGAACUUCCUCACAGAACUCGGUGAUGACCUGAUGGAGACCAGAGCCUGGCUAGCAGAGAAUGACUGCGACGCAGACUGCAGGAGUUUGGCGGUACAGAGUUUAAUGCUGCUGGACAAAAACCUCAAAACGCAGCUGCAGAUCCCAGAUAUGGAGACCUGAGGAGCGCUGACAAUAUCUCGCACUCAUCUGGAGAAGAUUUUAUGAUCAUGACAUGCAUCCCUAAUUACUAUGGCAUUGUUCCUUGGAUUUCACGUAUUGUGUUAUUUUUGUACUACUAAUGUUUAGAUACUGUAAAAUAAAGAGCUUUUUGGGGAC
Molecule: RNA transcript, 1800 nt
Organism: Sinocyclocheilus grahami
Lineage: Eukaryota; Metazoa; Chordata; Actinopteri; Cypriniformes; Cyprinidae
Gene name: telomere length regulation protein TEL2 homolog
Exons: 6
Source: RefSeq, a predicted model, not a curated record